ACUACAGAUACACAUAUCCUAGCUCUUUAUGGUACAUAUCUUAACAAAUUGUUCAAUGGUGUAACCAACUGAAUUUAUGUGCCUCUAUUUCUUUUAAAACACCAAGUGCAGGGUGCCUCAGAUCAGAAGCAUGCUAAAUAAUGACUUAGAUUGUCUAGGUAAAUACGAUGCAAUAAAGAAUGCUAAACGGUAACUAAGAUCAUCUUGGUAUAUAUGUUCAGAUGAUUUGAUACCUUGUUCUCAAGAGACAGAAUGUAUAUUGCUGAGCAGUUGUGAUGCUCUUACAUCAGACCAGUGAAGUUAUUGAACCUGGACAGGCUUAGAGAACCAGUGAACUGGACCUAAAACCGGUCCGGUUUUACAUUGAAACUGCUUGAGGAAGAGAAUUGGAAUGAAAUGGGUGAACAGGCUGUAACCGGCCAGACCCAUUCAAACCGCAAAGAACUGGAUGACCUGGACUGGUUCUUUUAUGAAAGGCAAAAAUGCAUUCAAGAGCAGCGUUUUGCUCUUUUGUCAUGCAUUCUGGUCACCUUUAUGUUAGCCCUUAAUCCAGAGACUUCCUUCAAAACUCCAAAAUACAAAUUACUAAGCUAAUCCAUUUCUUCCUUCAAUUUUUUUUUUCUGCCAGAGUUUCUUUCUUUCUUCCUUAAGAGAAGCUUGAUUCUUGAAGCCAUAUUGCCAACUGUCAGAAGCUAAGCUUGUUGAUUGUUGAUUGUGAAACAAAGUUCCAUGUGCUAUUUUGUUCAAAGCAGAACCAGAGGAAGAAGCUGACUGUUCACAAUUCACUAGUGUUGUCAAAAGCAUUAAAUGCCCUUAAGGCGGGAAGGUCCUUCAUUGGUCAAGGCGCUAGGCACUCACCUGAAUGAAGUGAGGCACUAAUUCAUUCUAAAAUAAUAAAUAA
RNAcentral lists this unclassified non-coding RNA (901 nucleotides) under Hevea brasiliensis (rubber tree). Lineage: Eukaryota; Viridiplantae; Streptophyta; Magnoliopsida; Malpighiales; Euphorbiaceae. The record is from RNAcentral.